AGGACGUGAAACUGGAAGUUAAAUUGUGAGUAGAAACCAUUGCCGAGACGGUGUAUGUAAACGAAUAUUUUAGAGGAACUGAAGAACGAUUUACAAUCUGCAUUUAUCUUCUCUACAUUUUAACGGCCAGCCUUUGCGUUAUUCCUUGUGUUACUAUCUUGAGGAAAUAGAUCGUAGCGAGGAUUAAUUUACUUAAGUGAUUUGGGUUCUGCUUAGGAAAAGUAGUGAGUGUGUUCGAAAGGAAGUGAGGGAGAGACACUUGGCGGUGUCGUGACAGCAUCACGGCCAGGCAGCCAGCCUUGUAAACAGACGCCACAAGAGCUGAACCCAGGACAGCCAACCUUCACUGAGAUGGUGACAGGCGCUAACUUUUGCGCUGCCGGACCGCCCGAAGAUUUAUAAAGACAAAAAUAUUGAAAGUAACAGCUAUAAUAAAAUCUUAAGGGUUCUUAGUAAAAACAGUAAAAAAUCUAGCACUUAAAACUAAAUAGAAUUCCAGAAUCUAGGAAUAGGACAACAUAAAGGAUCUGAACACCUGCAGAACACCAUUUCUGUGACCUGGUAGGCCUCCUUGGCACUAAGAGGAAGACACAAAACUGGAAGAAGGAACCAGAAACAGUAAACAACACCAUUGGCGUCAGAGCGAAUCUUCUUCCACACCUCCCCUUCCAUUCCUCGCCUCCUCCAUUCUCCACUUCCCUAUAUUCCUCCAAAUCCUAUUGCCCCACAGAACGAAAUCGCUUAUAGGCGGAAGCACGUUUCUCUCCCAAACACGAGACUAACAGCAAAAUCCAGUAAAGUAGUAGGGUAAGAUAUACAUAGUUUCACGUGGACUUAAACUGCGGAAGUUGACAGUGAAUUAACCAGAGAUGGAAACAGUCUUCCUGGUGAAGACGCCAACCGUCUUCAUUGCACUUCUAACAGCAAAGCUGACAGGAUGUGGCAGUCGAUGGCUUGGCUCUGGCUUCUCGUGGCGGCUCGUCUUGAAGUUCAAGGCCAUACAUGCACGUGUGAAGCGACUGGCGGAUGCAACUUUACUGAAGCCUGCGUUCCUGCUGACAACUGCAGAAAAGGCAAUGUAGCUCUCGGCAAAGCAGCAAGACUGAGUUCUGUGUACGACACCAAUGAAGUAUCUGGACCGGCAUGUCUGGCUGUGAAUGGCAACCGUGAUGAAACCUUCAGACCCAUCAAUCAGUUUCCAGACAGUCCCAACUGUGUUCACACGGGAUAUGGGGACCUGAGUCCAUUCUGGGAAGUGGACUUGGGACAGGACUUCCUCAUCACUAGCAUUACGGUCAUCGGACGAAAUACACAAAUUACACGAAUGAGAAGCAUGAAGCUGAAUGUAGACAACCAAGAGAUCUACACUUUCCCAUCAGACAACGCGCUACUUAAGACGGAGAUCUCACUUCCUGUUCCCGUGAGAGGACGUAGAGUGAGACUGUCUAAAAAAUCGCAAGCUGGAAAUGACAUGUUCUUAAAUUUAUGCGAAGUGCAGGUGUGGGAAUGCGUUGAGGGAUAUUUCGGACCAGACUGUAACAAGACGUGUGGAGCAUGCAGAUACAACUCAGUCUGUGACACUGUCACAAAAGCCUGUCCUGCUGGCUGUGAGAGUGGAUGGCAGGGCCCCAGGUGUGAUCAAACAUGUGCAGCAGGUACGUACGGAAGAGACUGUAAGUUGCAGUGCGGCCAUUGCAGAAGAAGUGUUCAUUGUGAUCACGUGAACGGCACGUGCAAGUUGGGAUGUGUUGACGGAUUUCAAGGAAAGCUGUGUAGGCAAGUUUGUGACGAGGGUUACUUUGGGCCAAACUGCAGCAGGAAGUGCGGAGGAUGCAAGAACAAUGCACCCUGCGAUACCGAAACAGGAAACUGUCCUGACGACUGCGACACUGGAUGGCAAGGCUCCAGAUGUGACCAAAGUCAGACAUGCUCGUGUGAGGUGACUGGAGGAUGCAAUUUUACAGAGAGUUGCAUACCUGCUGGCAACUGCAGAAAACGCAAUGUAGCUCUAGGAAGAACAGCUACGAUGGGUUCUGUACCUGACGAUUCUAACCUCAAUGAAACAUCAGGUCCAGCAUGUCUGGCUGUGAAUGGUAACAGUGACGUCACCUACAGUCCCUUCAGCCGGUUUCCAGCCAGUCCAAACUGUGUCCACAUAGCCAGUGGCAACUUUUCGAGUCCAUUUUGGGAGGUGGAUUUGGGUCAAGAGUUCCCUAUCGCUGCUGUCACACUCAUGGUACCACCUUUAGACAGAUUAUUCAGAGUGUAUAGUAUUCUCUUGGGUAGUCAUAUUGAGGAGAUUUACAUAAGAAAUGCAGCUGCCAGGCAAGACGCCAGACUAGACAAGGUGAUAGUAAGUCACAAAGUGAGACUUUCACUGGCCAAAGGAUACGGUUAUUUCGAUGUCGAGGAUCUUUCUCUCAGUCUAUGCGAAGUGCAGGUUUGGGUGUGUGUCGAUGGCUACUUUGGAAUUAAUUGUAACAAGAAAUGUGGAGCCUGCAGGAAUAACUGGACGUGCGAUGCCGUGACAGGAUACUGUCCUGCUAAUUGCGAGCCUGGAUGGCAGGGCUUCAGAUGUGAUCAAACCUGUGCCGAGGGCUACUUUGGACCAGACUGUGCCAAGACGUGUGGAAGUUGCAAGAACAGCUCUGUCUGCGAUUCCAUUUUAGGAAACUGCCCUGCUGGAUGUGAAAGUGGAUGGCGGGGUCCUACGUGUAAUCAAACCGAGGAGAACGAGAAUCUGACGGCUCUUGUCGCAGGCUUAGCUGUUGGUGGCAUCGUCAUGUUCAUUGUUGUCGCUGUUGGCAUAUUUUGGCGGUGUAAGUUGUCUUCAGGAUCUGACGAUGUAGUCGCAGGCUACUCAUCAAGACAAAUAGAAUCACCUGUAUACGAUAACCAGGGGGAUGAACAAAGAGUUUAUGAGGUAAUAAGUAACACACCAGAGGGCGUCUACGAGGACAUUGCUCAGCGGGAGGUCAUUGACAAGCAUCUUAGACGACCGGCGGAAGACAUGGAUACGAACGAUGUUUAUGUCAACAUUGUCUAAAAGUAGACUACUGUUUGUGGUCAUUCUUGCUUGGUUAGUUAAUACGUUAGAAAGAAAGUUUUAGAUGAUUGCAUUAGUGCAAAGAGUUUAGCUUAACCACUCGAGUUACUCACCAAGACAUUUAGAAAGGACGCUGGUUCAGUAAGACAAUUUUUGGACGUGAAGAAAAGUUUUUGGUUUAUUUGGUAGGAAGGUGCUUCCAAACAGGUGAUUUCGCAUUAUGAGGGUGGAGAGGUGGGGAGUAACCGGAGAAAACCCCCAGCGGUAGCUCAGGGACAGGUGUCACAUACAAAGAGUGUCCCGAGACGAUAUCUGAACCCUGAGUUUCUCCCUGUAGUAGUGACAAGCAAGUGUUUUAACCACUGCACUACCAGGACUCCCCAGGAGAUGGAAGAGAGAGGGGAAUGUCCCCAGGUUGUAGUAUUUAUGUUUACUCCAACGUUCAGUGGAUGACUUUCAGAGUAAAUUACAUUAUUUUAUCUAUAUUAUUGCUUUUUUGCUAAAACAUCUUUUAAAAUUGUACCUAUACUUAACAAUUUUGAAAUAAAUAUGUACAUAGCUUAUAACAUUUUCCUUGUACAUAAAUAAAUAUAGUUCUUUGCUAGCGAGAUGACUAAACUGAAUAUUUUGUCAUUACAUUUGUCUUACUGUACCCCAAAUAAAAUAUGGUUUUUUUCAGUUAAAAAAAAUGUUCUAAGAAUAUACAUUUACUAGAGAAGACUGAAUGUAGAUCUUGCCAGUGUGCACUAGCAAACUAACAGACAAAACCUAUAACAAAUUGUCUCUCUCGCAACAAGACAUAACA
This 3851-nucleotide unclassified non-coding RNA is filed under the name Pomacea canaliculata. RNAcentral's name for it is "multiple epidermal growth factor-like domains protein 6, transcript variant X1". Lineage: Eukaryota; Metazoa; Mollusca; Gastropoda; Architaenioglossa; Ampullariidae. The record is from RNAcentral.